Molecule: transfer RNA, 66 nt
Filed under: Doratura homophyla
Lineage: Eukaryota; Metazoa; Arthropoda; Insecta; Hemiptera; Cicadellidae
Description: tRNA-Cys
Source: RNAcentral
GGUCUUGUAGUUUAUAUUUAAAAUAUUAAAUUGCAAAUUUAACGAAGAAUAAGUUUUCUAAGACUU